Molecule: long non-coding RNA, 775 nt
Organism: Pseudopipra pipra
Lineage: Eukaryota; Metazoa; Chordata; Aves; Passeriformes; Pipridae
Exons: 4
Source: RefSeq, a predicted model, not a curated record
GUGAAGUCCCUGAGAUGAAAGGGGGUUUGAUCACACCUGCACUGAUCCAGCACUGCAAUUUUGUAUGGUAGCUGAAGUCAUGUCAUUAAUGUGACCACAGGAGAUGAGCCGUGUGCUGAUGAUGACCUAAGUGUUCUCUUUGCAUCAAACUGCUUUUGUACAAAUUCAUUGGACGCCAUUAAUCAUCAUAAAGGAAUAUAAUGGGAUCCUGAACACUGAUACUUAUAGAGGAGUCCUUUUGCUGUAGCAGACUCGUGUGAAAAUGUGCAUAUACAUGUUUGGAAGAGGAUGGAAAAUGCUGAUUCUCAGAGCUUCUGCUUAGAGAUGAUGUCCACCAAUCCUACUUAAAUAGCAAACAAAGGGUUUUUGUUGCUCUUGCAGUGAAGUAUUUUGAGAGUGUAUGAACAGUCCAUGAACAAGAAGUGACUGAACACAUGAAUUCUAUUCCCUGCCUCAUUUAGUAGUUUUUCUACAACUGAGCAAAUCGUGAGAGAAGACAAGCCCCCUGCAUGCAUAUGUUCUAAAUCAAUGUAGCUUACCAGAUGUGAAGGUUUCAACCCUACUGGUGGUUUAGGCCAGAUGCAUCAGGUUUGUGGAGCGUAACUGAACUAUUGGACGCGUCAGAAACACAAAACAGUUUCUGUCACCUCAAAGGAAGCCAGACAUAAUCAGAACUUUUACUGUCAAAACCACUCAGUCAUGUUUGCUCCAUCACUUCUCUAUGACAACAAUUCUGAUAAUAAUACUUAAUGUAAAUAAAUAGCAUAGUCCUUUC